RNAcentral lists this ribosomal RNA (443 nucleotides) under uncultured bacterium. RNAcentral describes it as "partial 16S ribosomal RNA". It matches the Rfam family "Bacterial small subunit ribosomal RNA", at positions 338 to 795 of the family's 1533-position model. The record is from RNAcentral.
CCUACGGGAGGCUGCAGUGGGGAAUAUUGGGCAAUGGAGGCAACUCUGACCCAGCAACGCCGCGUGAAUGAUGAAGGUCUUCGGAUUGUAAAGUUCUGUGAUGGGGGAUGAACACAAUGACGGUACCCCAAUAGCAAGCCACGGCUAACUACGUGCCAGCAGCCGCGGUAAUACGGAGGUGGCAAGCGUUAUCCGGAAUGACUGGGCGUAAAGGGUGCGUAGGUGGUUUAGUAAGUCGGCGGUGUAAUUCCGGGGCUCAACCUCGGCGCUACCGCCAAAACUAUUAGACUUGAGUGCAGGAAGGGAAGGUGGAAUUCCUAGUGUAGCGGUGGAAUGCGUAGAUAUUAGGAGGAACAUCGGGGGCGAAGGCGACUUACUGGACUGUAACUGACGCUGAGGCACGAAAGCGUGGGGAGCAAACAGGAUUAGAUACCCUUGUAGUC